UAGGUUAACGAGGCGAACCGGGGGAACUGAAACAUCUAAGUACCCCGAGGAAAAGAAAUCAACCGAGAUUCCCCCAGUAGCGGCGAGCGAACGGGGAGCAGCCCAGAGUCUGAAUCAGCUUGUGUGUUAGUGGAACGGUCUGGAAAGUCCGACGGUACAGGGUGAUAGUCCCGUACACCAAAAUGCACAGGCUGUGAACUCGAAGAGUAGGGCGGGACACGUGGUAUCCUGUCUGAAUAUGGGGGGACCAUCCUCCAAGGCUAAAUACUCCUGACUGACCGAUAGUGAACCAGUACCGUGAGGGAAAGGCGAAAAGAACCCCGGCGAGGGGAGUGAAAAAGAACCUGAAACCGUGUACGUACAAGCAGUGGGAGCACCUUCGGGUGUGACUGCGUACCUUUUGUAUAAUGGGUCAGCGACUUAUAUUCUGUAGCAAGGUUAACCGUAUAGGGGAGCCGCAGGGAAACCGAGUC
This 473-nucleotide ribosomal RNA is filed under the name Klebsiella pneumoniae subsp. pneumoniae. RNAcentral's name for it is "partial 23S ribosomal RNA". It matches the Rfam family "Bacterial large subunit ribosomal RNA", at positions 167 to 683 of the family's 2925-position model. Lineage: Bacteria; Pseudomonadati; Pseudomonadota; Gammaproteobacteria; Enterobacterales; Enterobacteriaceae. The record is from RNAcentral.